GAUGAACGCUAGCGGCAGGCUUAAUACAUGCAAGUCGGACGGCAGCACGGGCAGCAAUGCCUGGUGGCGAGUGGCGCACGGGUGCGUAACACGUAUGCAACCUACCCUGUACCGGGACACAACCCUCCGAAAGGGGGCUAAUAUCCCAUGACAUUGCGGAUGGGCAUCCAUUUGCAAUUAAAGAUUCAUUGGUACAGGAUGGGCAUGCGUCCCAUUAGCUAGUUGGAGGGGUAACGGCCCACCAAGGCGACGAUGGGUAGGGGUUCUGAGAGGAAGGUCCCCCACACUGGUACUGAGACACGGACCAGACUCCUACGGGAGGCAGCAGUAAGGAAUAUUGGGCAAUGGUCGGAAGACUGACCCAGCCAUGCCGCGUGCAGGAAGACGGCCCUAUGGGUUGUAAACUGCUUUUGUCGGGGAAUAAACCUGCCCACGUGUGGGCAGCUGAAGGUACCCGGCGAAUAAGCAUCGGCUAACUCCGUGCCAGCAGCCGCGGUAAU
Molecule: ribosomal RNA, 500 nt
Filed under: uncultured bacterium
Lineage: Bacteria
Description: bacterial SSU rRNA
Rfam family: Bacterial small subunit ribosomal RNA
Source: RNAcentral